This 253-nucleotide ribosomal RNA is filed under the name uncultured bacterium. RNAcentral's name for it is "partial 16S ribosomal RNA". It matches the Rfam family "Bacterial small subunit ribosomal RNA", at positions 524 to 776 of the family's 1533-position model. The record is from RNAcentral.
UACGUAGGGUGCAAGCGUUAAUCGGAAUUACUGGGCGUAAAGCGUGCGCAGGCGGUUAUGUAAGACAGAUGUGAAAUCCCCGGGCUCAACCUGGGAACUGCAUUUGUGACUGCAUAGCUUGAGUGCGGCAGAGGGGGAUGGAAUUCCGCGUGUAGCAGUGAAAUGCGUAGAUAUCAGGAGGAACACCGAUGGCGAAGGCAGGUCUCUGGGCUGACACUGACGCUCAUGCACGAAAGCGUGGGGAGCAAACAGG